RNAcentral lists this long non-coding RNA (682 nucleotides) under Homo sapiens (human). RNAcentral's name for it is "non-protein coding lnc-RPRD1A-2:5". The record is from RNAcentral. Lineage: Eukaryota; Metazoa; Chordata; Mammalia; Primates; Hominidae.
CUCUCAGGCACCCAGCGGAGUUUCGAGUCAGACUUGAGCUCGGGCGUAGCGGCUAGACCGGGCUGUGGCGAUAGAGUCCAAAGGAAGGCAGGAUGACUUCAAAGAUCUGCUAGUGCACCUGGAUUCUGGUUUUCUUACUAUUCAGCUUCAUGACCUUGAACAAACUUUACUCAGCUUGGCUGUGCCUCAGUUUAGUCAUCUGGAAAGGAAGGGGAUAGGACUAUAACUAAAUAUAAUUCUAGAUCAUUUUAAGUAUCAUCUGUGCACUCACGCAAUAUGUGCAUGGAACGUGGAGGCGAGAGUACAAAAGGCAUGGUGCUUGCCUAUCGACAUGAGGCCCCUACAACCCAGGGAAGGCCCGGUGGUCCAGGAUCCAGUGCUGCUCCCCAUGUGCCCAUCUCACAUGCUGCUCGGCACCAGCAGCCAUCACCACUCCACUUCUCUCAAGAGAUGGAGGAAGGAGGUCCCAAGCCAAGGAAUGCAGCAUGGGCCUCUAGAAGCUGGAAUGACCCUCACCUCACGGCCAGCAAGAAAUCAGGGAACUCAGUCUUACCCGAGUGAGCAGGAAAUCGAUUCUCCUCUGCAGCCUCUAUAGAGAACACAGCCUGUCAACACCCUGAUUUUGGCCCAAUGAGCCCUGUACCUCCAGAAGUGUAACGUAAUAAAUUUGUGUUGUUUUAAG